UUGGUCAAUGGACGCAAGUCUGAACCAGCCAUGCCGCGUGAAGGAUGAAGGUCCUCUGGAUUGUAAACUUCUUUUAUCUGGGACGAAAACGGGAUUUUUAUCUCAAUUGACGGUACCAGAGGAAUAAGCACCGGCUAACUCCGUGCCAGCAGCCGCGGUAAUACGGAGGGUGCGAGCGUUAUCCGGAUUUACUGGGUUUAAAGGGUGCGUAGGUGGGCUUAUAAGUCAGUGGUGAAAUCUCCGAGCUUAACUUGGAAACUGCCGUUGAUACUAUAGGUCUUGAAUUAUCUGGAGGUAAGCGGAAUAUGUCAUGUAGCGGUGAAAUGCUUAGAUAUGACAUAGAACACCAAGUGCGAAGGCAGCUUACUACAUAUAAAUUGACGCUGAGGCACGAAAGCGUGGGGAUCAAACA
RNAcentral lists this ribosomal RNA (412 nucleotides) under uncultured bacterium. RNAcentral describes it as "bacterial SSU rRNA". It matches the Rfam family "Bacterial small subunit ribosomal RNA", at positions 364 to 774 of the family's 1533-position model. The record is from RNAcentral.